GAACUGAAGAGUUUGAUCAUGGCUCAGAUUGAACGCUGGCGGCAGGCCUAACACAUGCAAGUCGAGCGGAUGAGUGGAGCUUGCUCCAUGAUUCAGCGGCGGACGGGUGAGUAAUGCCUAGGAAUCUGCCUGGUAGUGGGGGACAA
RNAcentral lists this ribosomal RNA (146 nucleotides) under Acinetobacter johnsonii. RNAcentral describes it as "partial 16S ribosomal RNA". It matches the Rfam family "Bacterial small subunit ribosomal RNA", at positions 1 to 146 of the family's 1533-position model. Lineage: Bacteria; Pseudomonadati; Pseudomonadota; Gammaproteobacteria; Moraxellales; Moraxellaceae. The record is from RNAcentral.